CCUCUUGUCAAGAGACAUUUAAACAAAAGUACACUUCACUAACUUUGACGACUGAUGAGGAUCCUGGAUACUUCUUUUCAGUGGCACACAUAAGGUAACAUGAUUCACGAUUCGUGUUAUUUAUAUGCUCUACACACAAGCUAUGAUGGACGGAGCAAAGAGUCCAUGCAGAUGCUCAUCCAUGCAGAGGCACACACAUGCAUUUCCCAAAGGACAUCUAGCUCCCUUCCAAUAAAAUGAGAAAACUGAGGUACACAACAUAUUUCUCUCCCUGCCUCUCUAGUUCUUUUCCCCUUCUCUUCCUCCAUUUUUCUCUCUUCUUUCAUCCCUCCCCAUGCAUUUUCCACUAACAUUGUCAAGCCACACUUGGCCUAAUCAUAUAAACAACACAUUUUACAAGAUCUGAUCUUCAGCAAUAUUCCUAAUUGGAUAGUCACUUGUGCUGGGAUUAUUCUUAGAUUGGACUGGGCCUGUCUGGCAAACAAGUAUUGCGAAUUAACUUCAAAUCAAGUUCUAUACUCUUCGUUGCUUCAUUGUUUAAACAUGUCAUCCAAUUAUAAAUAAUAAAUCACAACAAUUGCAUUUCUUUUCCAGAUAUAAGUAUAACUAUAAUUACACAAGCUUAACAUUUUCUGUAUGGACUAGCAAAUCAAUUAUUUGCUUGGAUACUUAAAAAACGGCAAUGAUAAAUAAAAAAUAUUUAUUAUGAUCCUAAUCUGAAAUGCUCGGCCUAAAUUGUUUUCAUAAAAGCGAGUGCAUCAGCAGACCUGUAAACGAUACUUGAGAAACUCAUUUUAACAUCCAACAUAAAUGCACUAAAAUACACCAUGGUUUACCUAUUAUAGGAAAUGCAUCUGAAAGAAGUUUUGCUGUCGUAAAUUGCUUAUCGUUAUUUUUGAAAAGCUACAAGUUUUGAAAAGCAAGAAAACUACGAAUCUGAAACAGAACUGAGUAGGCUACCCUACUCUGUAGCCUUACACUUCCACGCCUAAAAUGUGUAAUUUACCUGCGCGUCCCAUACACGUAAAAACCUGCCGAUUAAACAACGUGGAAUAGAUCUGAGAAACGUUAGGUACGUUAAAGAGUCAGCACUUACUUUGGCCGUCGAAUUUUCUGAUAAUUGUAUCCAGGAAUCCCCACAGUGGGCGAGCAGCAGUGGAAGAACACAGAAGCCAAGAAGAGGUGCCAUUAAUCGAUGAAAAUGAUGCAGACUCCUACACUCUGUCUAGGGAGAUUACCAAGGAGGAAGACUUGGUGGGCCAGACAUCAAAACUCUGUAUAGAGCUUCAUCAUUAAGGUCAGAGUCAGUAGUAUUGUGACACAUUACUUAGCUUAUCACAGGCAAGCAUGCAGUUCCACACGCAUAUACACACAUUGUUUUUUUAACUACUGUGCAUUAGUUUCUAAUUAAUUUGUAUAGUUUGAUACUGUUUUCUAAUUGCCAUUAUUCAUCCAUCAAUAAUUAGAAUUUUCAAAAAUCUGUUGACGUACGUAUAUGUUAAAACUUGUAAUUUUCUCCCACUAUCGUUAAAUCCUUGCAAGGCAUUAUGGCCUUGUACUGGUAGCCAUGACUACAUGGGGCCCAUGGCUACAGCCCAGAUCUCAAGCGUCAAUGUGGCUGCUGUUCCUUUUAUGACAGCACUUAGGUGUACAUACAGGACACCGUAGUCACCAAUGAGAGAGCGAGGACAUAGGUCUAUGUCCAAGGCCACCUGUCAGUUUUUAUCUUCUCUAAAGCCUCAUUAAUACAAAGUUCUCCUACCUGAAAAUAUCCUCAUGAACGCUCCUAUCUGCUCAUAUACUGGCAGCCAGUAAACUAAACAUCUAUUGUCUAAGAAAGAAGUAGCUGAAGGGUAGAACAUAAAUGGAUCCUUGUUUUGUCUUUGACAAAUUGUUAUGUCUAGUUUCAGUUAAAACAUUGGAAGUGUGGGCUUAUUUUGUUUUCCGGGGGUUAGUGUGUACUUGUCAUCUGAGACACAGAAGGCAGAGAUCUGAUGAGUUCUGUCAUGUGGGUCUCAGUGCGUGUCAUUUUCAGCAAGGGCAAUCAUAAUAACAUUUUAAUUAUUCACUGAGCGCUUGUGUUGUUAUCCUUGAUUUCCGUGACCCACAAUGGGUGCAGCCAGGUGUUGUGAUACUAGCCAACUUUCAUGCCUGGUCUGGACACUUCCUAAAUAUAUUAUGAAUUAUUGAUUACCUUUAAACAGAACAAAACAAGCACCCAUACACGCAAGGAUGGUUUGCCUUGCCCAUGAAAACUCCUGAAAAUUGACAUAAGUAUCUAUAAAACAAUGUUUGUUUUUCUACAAAAUAGGCCAUUAAAUGAUUGUAGUAAGCUUUGAAGGUGUAUGGUUGCCACAGCAAGUUUAACAACCCUCCAUGUUUUGACUCUUACAUUGGGGCACUGUAAAUCACUGUGGAGGAAUGAAUAUAAGGAAUAUAUGUGAGGUCUGAUAAUGUUCAUAUUAAUUUUACCCAGUACCAGGUGUCUAUCAGGUUUUGAAAGGCUGUAAUCAGCUGACAGUGACAGAAGCUAUUGAAGUGAACAGACUGACCUUGUUGCCUACAGUUCAAAAAGGCUGUCAGCAGGUAAGGUUUAUCUACUGUAAAAAACUGUACAAAGGUACAAGACAACAUUCAAUAUAAAUAUACAUGUUGUUAGCAAGAAAAUGAUAAAUAUAAAUGUAGCUACAGUAUAUCCUCAGGACUAACUACUUAUUUAUCCCUGUACCUAUCAUUUGAAUAGCACUGAACCAGAGUUGUUCCAUGGUACUGGCAAAAGUUAUGCGACUAAGUCAUGAAUCCCACUUUGUGAAAUACUCUUAUUAUAGUUGUGUUUUCAAAGAUAACACAUUUUUAUGUUUGUAUGUAUGGUGUAUGUCACAUGGUGUAUGCUGUGCUCGUACAAGAGUGUUCUUUGCUCUGCUUGCAGUGAAUACUAGAAAGAGGGACGAUGAAACCAAUUCUAUUUGGGUAAAGACAAAAAAAUUCAAGGAAUUUUGUACAAUAUAGAGAUCAAUUGCAUCAUGUUGCUUUAUUGUGUUUAAUUGGUUAUAAUGCUGUCACACCUAAGAAUAAGAAUGGUAUAAUGGUCUGUUUGUUACUGUUUUUAAAACACAUUAGUUGGAUUCUGUUGAACUUUGCUAGAAGGUGCAGAAGUCUAAAAUAACCUAGAGUUGGGUAAAGGCACUGGGUCAGAUUGCUGUGACUGAGUGAAUUGCAGAAGGGGAUGUGACGCCAGAACGGUUGAGGUCGAGGAAAUAAGAGAAAGAGAAACAGUCAUCUCAGAAGGUGUGAUUAGCUUAAAAAAAGUACAAAGCUAACUUCAGGCAGAAAAACAUCCUACGUAUAAUCAGUGAAGAGAAACUAUAUGUGGCUCAGCCCUUAUUUAUCUUUUUCUGACUUUCCGUGAGGUGCACCGGAGGUGGAGGUUCAUAGCGCCUACCAAACCAAGAUCAACCUCCACUGAGCACCCUGCUGCAGGAUGACGUACUGCACUCCUGUGUGAUGGAACAGCAUGCUACCUCGGCACUCUCAGCACUAAUGGGCCUGAGUGAGCUCAGUCAUUAGCUCAGGGCUGGACUGGUGCUUGGACUGUAAUCCCUGUGAACAUAAACACCCAUGUUCAGCACACACCACGCCUGCAAAGGAACCAGGCCGUCCCUCGUCAGGACUGUCCCGACCAUUCACUUCCUUGGAAAAUUUCUCUCUCGUGAGCCCUGUUACUAGGAAUUCCCCUAUCUCUGAUGCCUUCAAAAUGUUUGCGUCAGUGUGAGGACAGUCUUUUUAAGGACCUACUGUGCACUCACCCAGAGGCUAGGAAGCCUGGAAAGGGGGUGUCGGCAUCAGGGGCAUCACCCUUACAUUUAAAGUUCUGUUAGUCAGCACAGCUCCAUAAUUCCCAUCCUCCUACGCCAGGCUCCUGAGCUGCCACUGUAUAGAUGUUAAUAGCAUGGGUUUACUGCUCUCCACAAGACAAAUCACUCCGCCCUCUCCCAAGUGAGUUUUUCUCAGAGACGAAAAAGACACACAGAGACAGAGAACAGAGAAACAGAAUGACCUGACCUGCCUGAAAGAGGAAGAAGGGGAUGCAAUGAUGGAGAAGAUUGAGGGGUGACAGCUGGGUUUUUGGAGAAGGGGAUUUUUCCGGUGGAAUGGGUGAAGACCUGGGACCAAGCAAAACUCAAUUACACCUUUCAUCCUACAAAGUGGUAGAAUAGAUAGGAAGUGAACUGUGAGGGAGUAACACCUACCUGAGCCCUACUUCAACCUACUGACAAACACGUGCAGGUUACAAAGUUUAAUGCCAGUCUCCGUCGGUGCCGGAGGUUCGUUUGGGCACCGUUCCUGUCUCACUGCUUAUUAAGUAAAAAAAUCCUAUUACAUUAGCCUGCUCCCCAGCAUGGGCUGAACCGUCCAUCGCCGCCAUCCGACUCGCCACCUGCUGAAGUGGGGCAGCUCAACACGAAGCCCUUCUUGCCUCGCCAUGCUGCCCCCAGGAAUUGAGUCUCACUGCCCUCACAUAAACCUCCCCCAUUAAUGCUGUGCUGUGGGGCAUUCCGGAAAAUUCUGUUUUUGUGUGUGCCCGCAACUGUGUGUGCACAUCUGUGUCUGUGCCAAAUGGGGGCUAAUUUGAUGAAGGUUAGGGGUGCGUGAUGUGGAGAUAUCAUCAAGGUCCCAGGUGAGGAGGAAGAUCAGCGGACAGAAUGAUUGGUGGGAUGGAGCGGGUCAGCGAAGGUCACAGCAGUCUGGUGUUACGGGGAAGCGUCUGAGGGUUAGCUGCGGCACGCGCCGUGCUCCAGGAAUCAGGGCAUGUCCUUCCUCUCCGCCAUGGACUCCUUAAUGAUCUGAAACACAAGCAAACAUGGCCGGUGUAUAAAUAAGAUGGAUUAUGAGGAAGGUGUGUGUGUGUGUGUGCGCGUGUGUGUGUGUGUGUGUACGUAUGUGCGUGCAUGCCUGUAUCCGUGCAUGUAUUCAUGUAUGUUGAAUAUUUACGUGUGUGCAUGUAUGUUCUUGUGCCUGUGCAUGCAUAGAAUUUAUUGGGGAAUGAGAGAGCACAAACACCUUGUCAACAUGCAUAUCCCAAGCUCUACAGCUUUCAUUAUUUACCUCAGCCUGUAGUUUUAUUCAAGCUAAUAUGGAAUAAACGAGUCAGUGAGAAUA
This is a long non-coding RNA of Anguilla anguilla (European eel), 5160 nucleotides long. RefSeq lists it as uncharacterized. The transcript has 3 exons. The record is from RefSeq and is a predicted model, not a curated record. Lineage: Eukaryota; Metazoa; Chordata; Actinopteri; Anguilliformes; Anguillidae.